This 568-nucleotide long non-coding RNA is filed under the name Anas platyrhynchos platyrhynchos (common mallard). Its description in RNAcentral is "lncRNA (ENSAPLG00000026624.1)". Lineage: Eukaryota; Metazoa; Chordata; Aves; Anseriformes; Anatidae. The record is from RNAcentral.
ACAAAAAGCCAUAUCCUUGUACUUGAUAUUUUAAGGGAUUAGCAGAAAAUACUUUGUUUUGUGUAAAACAUAGUGCACGGGUAUCUUGAAGGAAAGGUUACAUUCACAGCACUUUAUUAAUAAGAGCUUAAUAUUUCUUCUGGCAUCUAGUUCUUCACUUAAGAAUAAGAGCACCAAGAAAACGCAGUGUUGGUUGUGUAUCCGACGUGAGUCAUAGCAGUUAUUUCCCUGCUCCUGCCUUACCCAAGGUGCCUACAUUUGUCUCUAACAGGACCAAUGGUCAGCCUCAGAGAGAAGCGCACUGGGAAAAGCCAACGUUUGAGCUCACCGAACAACCUGCAUGCCUGCUAUCUCCUGGCAGAGAGAGUUAAUGCAGCUGAGUGACAGCAUCUCCCUGCCCCUCUCAAACUGCUGCUCCAGUCCACACAAGAGCCCUGCGGGGUGCACCGUGAUGAUGCAGUUUUCCAAAGUGGUUGUGCUUGGAUUGCUACAUUUACAUUGCUUUGACUCCAAUCAGCUCAGCUGGAUACUGCAACGUGUGAACAUGCAACAGGUCACAAAACCGUAA